AAGAUUGGAUAGAUCUAUUAGGGUUUUCAGACACAUAUUUAUAGAGAAGGCAAGGAACAGGCUCCUUGGUCUCUAAAUGGGCCUUAAAAAUAAACCUUAUAAAACCUUAUAAAAACCUUAUAAAACCUUAUAAGGGUUCUCAAGUCUGGCAGCUUAAUUCUCAAGUCUAGCAGCCUAAUUCUCAAGUCUAGCAGCCUAAUUCUGCUUCAUGUUAACAAAGAUAAAUAAUUAAAAUAAAGUCUUGAACUGAGAUCAUCAAAUGAGUGAUAGGAAAGCAACAUAUGGCCUCAUUAAAAACCUAUCUUUGGAAAACCCAGUGGGACAAAN
This 327-nucleotide long non-coding RNA is filed under the name Brassica napus (rape). Its description in RNAcentral is "long non-coding RNA (BNAP_LNC009275)". The record is from RNAcentral. Lineage: Eukaryota; Viridiplantae; Streptophyta; Magnoliopsida; Brassicales; Brassicaceae.